AGUCUAUGCUGUGCCCAUGCAACCGUUCCCAUAGCUUCAAACAAGCAGUCCUAUACUUCCAGCUUUUGGAUCUGGACCUGCACUCCUACAGGUACACAGCAGGACACUGAGCUGCAGUCUUUCUAAGCAGAAAGAUGAUGGAAUAGGGCUUUUUCUCAUUCAGCUAUCAGAAUUUGUGGAUGGGGAGGACAGGUCAGACGUGACAGCCCCAGCUCUACCACCGCUCGGUGCUACCAACCUGCUGGUUGUUCUGUGCUGGGAAAUUUCAAAGGUCUGCUCAACAUGAGGCAUGUAAAUCGAGGUAUGUUUGAAGUCCCAGGAUUAAGAUGCUAACUAAACUAGUAUCCUGAGAUGCAAUCCCCAU
Molecule: long non-coding RNA, 364 nt
Filed under: Numida meleagris (helmeted guineafowl)
Lineage: Eukaryota; Metazoa; Chordata; Aves; Galliformes; Numididae
Description: lncRNA (ENSNMEG00000018149.1)
Source: RNAcentral